AGAGUUUGAUCCUGGCUCAGGACGAACGCUGGCGGCGUGCUUAACACAUGCAAGUCAAGGGGGCCCAGCAAUGGGCAACCGGCGAACGGGUGCGUAACACGUGAGCAACCUACCGAACUGUGGGGGAUAGCCGGCCUAACGGCCGAGUAAUACUGCAUACGCUUUCAGUGAGGCAUUUCACUGAAAGGAAACCUACGGGACAGAUCGAGGGGCUCGCGGCCUAUCAGCUAGUUGGCGAGGUAACGGCUCACCAAGGCAACGACGGGUAGCUGGUCUGAGAGGAUGGCCAGCCACAUUGGGACUGAGAUACGGCCCAGACUCUUACGGGAGGCAGCAGUGGGGAAUCUUGCGCAAUGGCCUAACGGCUGACGCAGCGACGCCGCGUGUGGGAUGAAGCUCUUCGGAGUGUAAACCACUGUUGCCCGGGACGAAUAGCUCGAUUAAUUGAGCCUGACGGUACCGGGUGAGGAAGCACCGGCUAACUCCGUGCCAGCAGCCGCGGUAAUACGGGGGGUGCGAGCGUUGUCCGGAAUCACUGGGCGUAAAGGGCGCGUAGGUGGUUUGAUAAGGGUGUGGUGAAAGUCCGGGGCUCAACCCCGGAUCUGCCGUGCCGACUGUCAAACUCGAGGACUGUAGAGGCAGACGGAAUUCCGGGUGUAGCGGUGGAAUGCGUAGAGAUCCGGAGGAAGACCGGUGGCGAAGGCGGUCUGCUGGGCAGUUUCUGACACUGAGGCGCGACAGCGUGGGGAGCAAACAGGAUUAGAUACCCUGGUAGUCCACGCCGUAAACGAUGGGUACUAGGUGCCUGGGGGAGCGACCCUCUGGGUGCCGGCGCUAACGCAGGAAGUACCCCGCCUGGGGAGUACGACCGCAAGGUUGAAACUCAAAGGAAUUGACGG
Molecule: ribosomal RNA, 899 nt
Filed under: uncultured bacterium
Lineage: Bacteria
Description: bacterial SSU rRNA
Rfam family: Bacterial small subunit ribosomal RNA
Source: RNAcentral